This is a long non-coding RNA of Sphaeramia orbicularis (orbiculate cardinalfish), 178 nucleotides long. RefSeq lists it as uncharacterized. The transcript has 3 exons. Lineage: Eukaryota; Metazoa; Chordata; Actinopteri; Kurtiformes; Apogonidae. The record is from RefSeq and is a predicted model, not a curated record.
UGAUCACAUUUUCCGCUGAUGUAAUGACGCGGCUCUGCUUGGCUCUUGGCCUAUGGAAAAGCAAACCGGUUCUUUGGAAGCACCAGGUUGGAACCAGUUAAGCACUGGCUCUAGCACCGGCAUCGAACUAGCACCAGGUUCUUUUUGGUGGAAAAGGGGUUUACGUUAAUUUGUAAUU